GAAGGCACUGCAUUUGCUGAAUGAAUCUAGGGCCUUCCCAACAGCAUAGUGUAUGCUGGUUCAAUAUCCAUUACCUGGAAUGUUACAUUGAAAGUACAUACCCCAAUUUGGAGAGAUGGGUCUACUGGGAGCCUUGCCAGGGUUGCAUUGGGGCAAGACAUUGAGUGCUGAGCCAUUGUCAAUUAGAACUUUAGCAACCAAACAUCCUUUACACUUAACUGUCAGCCUCUACACUUAACUGUCACAAGCAGAGACUUGAUGUGCUUCAAGCUAGCCG
Molecule: unclassified non-coding RNA, 277 nt
Filed under: Hevea brasiliensis (rubber tree)
Lineage: Eukaryota; Viridiplantae; Streptophyta; Magnoliopsida; Malpighiales; Euphorbiaceae
Source: RNAcentral